Long non-coding RNA from Dreissena polymorpha, 980 nucleotides. RefSeq lists it as uncharacterized. The record is from RefSeq and is a predicted model, not a curated record. Lineage: Eukaryota; Metazoa; Mollusca; Bivalvia; Myida; Dreissenidae. The transcript is spliced from 3 exons.
CUCCGCGUCCGCCAUUACACUACUGCCAAACAACCGGUAACAUAUAUAUAAGGUGGCAGGGGAUAUAUCAGUGGAAGGGGGGUCCAUACAUAUCUUUAGGACUGUGGUACUGUUUGAUGUGGUCGCAGUUUAAUAGGGAGAACGAGUGGACCCCGAGAACGAUUACACGCAUUCAAGACAUCGUUAGCCACAGAAUCACCCAAUCGCACGACACUUUCCAGUUGUAGAAAGAAUGUCUCAAAAUUUUGGAAAAAAACAUUACAACUAGCCACAGCUCCCUAGCAAGGAAAUUUUGAAUCUUCAAAAAGGAGGUUUUCACUUUUGUCGGAAGUCAAUAUUUCACGCUGCAGAAACAGAACAAAAUUUUGAAGGUAAAUUGUGAAAAAUCUAAACGUAUGGGAGACACUUUCCUAGGCAAAUAAACAAAGCACAGGGAUGAAAUUAGUGAGUAAUGUAGCCAAAACUAGGAUUGCAUUCUGUUUGAAUGUUCUGUGCAUGCCAUGAAAUGGGUCAAAUUUCUCAAUUUUUCAUUAAAAAUGAGGUGGUCGGGGGGAAAGAUCAAGGGCCAUAGUUUCACAAGUGAAGAAGCCAGCCUUGUCUUUGGUUGUAUUUUCAAUGUAUAUUGCCUAUGCUAUGACACUGACACAAAAAGGCUUUCUUGUGUCACUUUCUGUUUUGAUGCAAUGGAUUUGACUGUUUGCGGCCUUUCGGAACUCGAAAUUUGGUCAAAAAUAUAUCCCCUGCCCCCUUAAUAGCAAAACGCAAAAUUUCAAAAUUGUGUAUAUCAUACGAAAAUUGAUACAUGUAUUCCACAAAUGUGUUGCGGUAACAAAUCGAACAUAAUUUUGCAUAUAUCUUUUAACCGCUAUGGUUGAGAUUAUGGAAAACAAAGGGAGGUAAUAAUGUUAAAACCAUUGCUAAUUUUAGGAAAAUUUCACGUGUGCUGGUUUCGCACUGGAAAACAAUGUUUAAACUCAUAU